GAUGAACGCUGGCGGCGUGCUUAACACAUGCAAGUCGAACGAACCUUCGGGUUAGUGGCGGACGGGUGAGUAACGCGUGGGAAUCUGCCCUCAGGAGGGGGAUAACGGUUGGAAACGGCCGCUAAUACCCCAUAUGCCGAGAGGUGAAAUGAAUUUCGCCUGAGGAUGAGCCCGCGUCUGAUUAGCUAGUUGGUGAGGUAAGAGCUCACCAAGGCAUCGAUCAGUAGCUGGUCUGAGAGGAUGAUCAGCCACACUGGGACUGAGACACGGCCCAGACUCCUACGGGAGGCAGCAGUGGGGAAUUUUCCGCAAUGGGCGAAAGCCUGACGGAGCAACGCCGCGUGAGGGAUGAAGGCCUCUGGGCUGUAAACCUCUUUUAUCAAGGAAGAAGAUCUGACGGUACUUGAUGAAUAAGCCACGGCUAAUUCCGUGCC
Molecule: ribosomal RNA, 434 nt
Filed under: uncultured cyanobacterium
Lineage: Bacteria; Bacillati; Cyanobacteriota
Description: bacterial SSU rRNA
Rfam family: Bacterial small subunit ribosomal RNA
Source: RNAcentral